UAUUCCCAGAAAAUUUUCAUACAUAAUAAACUCCUAAAUCAUACCUCAUUCUUUCCCAACAUGCAAAAUAUUCAGAAUCCUAUGGAGGGACAAAUAUACCUUUAUUUUAAAAGUUAAUUCUGAGCACUGAAAAUAAAUGGUUUUCCAGUGUUGCAGGGACAUUCUAACAAAAUGUGACCAGUGACGAACAACGGCUUCCUCAACAGCCAGAACACUGUGCUCCUCUCCAUCCGGCUUACUACUCUCCAAAAACCUGUUUAAUGCCACCACUGUGUUUAAUACACUCUCCUCUGAUGUGUUUGCCCUGCCAGAUUGUGAGCCCGAGAACAGAAACUUCCUGAUUGGCUCACCAUUAUUCUCCCUGCACCUAAAACAGUGAUGAGCUUCUGGCAGAUGCUGGCUGGACUGAUGGAUGGACUGUUAGGUGAAUGAGGCCGACUGUCCAGUGAGCAAAGUGCCCAGUGACUGAGAAUGAGACAGAAGAUGAGGGCGUUUGAUGAUAAGGAAGAGGAAAGCCAUCAGAGCCACCUGGAAGUAGAGGUCUGCUCAGGUCGGCCUGCUUAACCAAGAUGGCCGCCAGUGGGAGUAGGAAGGAUGAAGACAUUGCACACAUUUGGAGGAAGAACCCAAAGCUGGCAUGAGAGGAGUCCUUUCCAGGGCUGUUCAAGGCAACGGGAUGCAGACUCCUCCCAAGGGGUAAACAUUGGAAGCCACCAGGAGGGAAGCCAAGCCUCUAGAGAUUGCUCAGGAACCCCAACCACCCCAAUGGAGCCGGAAGGUCUGUCAAUUCCCAGAGAGGGAGGAAAUGGAAGGUGUGCGUAUCCAGACAGCAGGCUUCGAGAACAAGGACAGCUCUACUUAUCCUGGAGCUUUCAUGUGGUGGGAGAGGCGCAGUGCUGUGUCUGUCCCAGAGCAGAGCAGAGCAGAGCAGGGCAG
Non-coding RNA from Macaca mulatta (Rhesus monkey), 936 nucleotides. The record is from RefSeq and is a predicted model, not a curated record. Lineage: Eukaryota; Metazoa; Chordata; Mammalia; Primates; Cercopithecidae.